Molecule: small nucleolar RNA, 131 nt
Organism: Apodemus sylvaticus (European woodmouse)
Lineage: Eukaryota; Metazoa; Chordata; Mammalia; Rodentia; Muridae
Product: small nucleolar RNA SNORA17
Exons: 1
Source: RefSeq, a predicted model, not a curated record
CCUGUCCCUAAAAGCAUUGCGGGUUGUGCUACAGUGUCACAUGUGUGUCAAUAGGCGGCAGAGAGGAGAAGGCUAUGUCUACUCUCAGGAUUCUGACCUGUGAACAUCUGAAUGAUUAGGAGCCUUACACU